RNAcentral lists this long non-coding RNA (872 nucleotides) under Helianthus annuus (common sunflower). RNAcentral describes it as "hypothetical non coding rna". The record is from RNAcentral. Lineage: Eukaryota; Viridiplantae; Streptophyta; Magnoliopsida; Asterales; Asteraceae.
AUGAAGGUUCUAGGUUUCGGCGUUGGGAGGAAUCCAAGGUUAAGUGGGAGUUGUAUGGUGUUGAUGGAAUUCUGUACUUCUAUGGGAUUAGAAGUUUAGACAUUCUGGCGCCCUCGUUAAACUCAAACUGGAAUAAACGCGUAGCCACGCUCGGACUAAGAGUAGUUCGUUAGACCACUUUGAAUUAUAGACGAGAAUAGAGAAUGGUUGAUCACUAUAUAAGAAUGAAUAAUCCAUGUCUUAUGAUCAACGAAUGUUCUAUACAGAAGGGACUUAUUGAUAGAAUUAUCAGGGCUAUAAUAUUUGGUUAAGUAAAGUGUUACUUGAACGCAAAGAACUAGUUGACGACUGUAAAGUGCCAUGCCGUGUUAAGAGCAGUGCGAUGCAGCUAAGCGUCCAACUCUGCACACGUUGACUCAUUUAAUUAAAAUCGUCAAAGUGGGAGAUUGUUGGAUAUAUGUAUGUCCGACCUUAAUUAAAGUCAACGUAACUAACUUGGUACGAUCCGAAGAGUUACACGUUGGUACACGAAUCGUAUAUGUUCACGAGUAGGUAGAUUAUUAUUUGUGAAAUAAUAAUAGUGGAAACCCAAGAGACACCUUUUUCUAAUAAAAGGAUGUUUAAUGUGGAAACCCAAGAGACACCCUUUUAGAAUAAAAGGAUGUUUAAGGUGGAAACCCAAAGAGACUUUUUUUUUGGGCCGGUUCUACUAGAGGUAUCUUGUGCUCGGUUGUGAACUUCCUACUAGCGAGGAUUCGUUGUAACCCGCGUGUUACAAUUCCGGUGUAGUCGUCAAAGGUUGAUUACUAAAACCCUCUAUGGUUGUUUAUUCCGUUUAUUUGUUUAUACGCGUAUAACCUUGAUCCUGAUUG